This 254-nucleotide ribosomal RNA is filed under the name uncultured bacterium. Its description in RNAcentral is "partial 16S ribosomal RNA". It matches the Rfam family "Bacterial small subunit ribosomal RNA", at positions 524 to 776 of the family's 1533-position model. The record is from RNAcentral.
GACGUAGGGGGCGAGCGUUGUCCGGAUUUAUUGGGCGUAAAGCGCGCGUAGGCGGCCAGCACAAGUCAGUUGUGAAAUCUCCGGGCUUAACUCGGAAAGGUCAACUGAUACUGUGCGGCUAGAGUGCAGAAGGGGCAACUGGAAUUCUCGGUGUAGCGGUGAAAUGCGUAGAUAUCGAGAGGAACACCUGCGGCGAAGGCGGGUUGCUGGGCUGACACUGACGCUGAUGCGCGAAAGCCAGGGGAGCGAACAGG